This 505-nucleotide ribosomal RNA is filed under the name uncultured bacterium. RNAcentral describes it as "partial 16S ribosomal RNA". It matches the Rfam family "Bacterial small subunit ribosomal RNA", at positions 355 to 848 of the family's 1533-position model. The record is from RNAcentral.
UGGGGAAUAUUGCACAAUGGGCGCAAGCCUGAUGCAGCCAUGCCGCGUGUGUGAAGAAGGCCUUCGGGUUGUAAAGCACUUUCAGCGAGGAGGAAGGUGGUGAGCUUAAUACGCUCAUCAAUUGACGUUACUCGCAGAAGAAGCACCGGCUAACUCCGUGCCAGCAGCCGCGGUAAUACGGAGGGUGCAAGCGUUAAUCGGAAUUACUGGGCGUAAAGCGCACGCAGGCGGUUUGUUAAGUCAGAUGUGAAAUCCCCGGGCUCAACCUGGGAACUGCAUUUGAAACUGGCAAGCUAGAGUCUCGUAGAGGGGGGUAGAAUUCCAGGUGUAGCGGUGAAAUGCGUAGAGAUCUGGAGGAAUACCGGUGGCGAAGGCGGCCCCCUGGACGAAGACUGACGCUCAGGUGCGAAAAGCGUGGGGAGCAAAACAGGAUUAGAUACCCUGGUAGUCCACGCUGUAAAACGAUGUCGAUUUUGGAGGUUGUGCCCUUGAGGCGUGGGNUUCC